UCGAGGGGCAGCGGGGGAGUACAAUACUCCCGCCGGCGACCGGCGCACUGGUGAGUAACACGUAUGAAACCUGCCCGUAGCAGGGGGAUAAGCGGAAGAAAUUCCGUCUAAUACCGCGUAACAACCCAUGGAGGCAUCUCCGUGGGUUUAAAGGAAGCGAUUCCGGCUACGGAUGGUCAUGCGUCGCAUUAGCUUGUUGGCGGGGUAACGGCCCACCAAGGCGACGAUGCGUAGGGGUUCUGAGAGGAAGGUCCCCCACACUGGUACUGAGACACGGACCAGACUCCUACGGGAGGCAGCAGUGAGGAAUAUUGGUCAAUGGCCGCAGGGCUGAACCAGCCAAGUCGCGUGAGGGAUGACGGUCCUAUGGAUUGUAAACCUCUUUUGUCAGGGAGCAAAGGGCGCCACGUGUGGCGUUUUGCGAGUACCUGAAGAAAAAGCAUCGGCUAACUCCGUGCCAGCAGCCGCGGUAAUACGGAGGAUGCGAGCGUUAUCCGGAUUUAUUGGGUUUAAAGGGUGCGCAGGCGGAAUGUCAAGUCAGCGGUAAAAUUUCGGGGCUCAACCCCGUCGUGCCGUUGAAACUGGCGUUCUUGAGUGAGCGAGAAGUAUGCGGAAUGCGUGGUGUAGCGGUGAAAUGCAUAGAUAUCACGCAGAACUCCGAUUGCGAAGGCAGCAUACCGGCGCUCAACUGACGCUCAUGCACGAAAGCG
This 710-nucleotide ribosomal RNA is filed under the name uncultured bacterium. RNAcentral's name for it is "bacterial SSU rRNA". It matches the Rfam family "Bacterial small subunit ribosomal RNA", at positions 62 to 761 of the family's 1533-position model. The record is from RNAcentral.